GUGCACAGAAACUCAACCAAUAUUUGUUGAACACAUGCUGAAUUAAAGUAAAAUGAAUGCAAAGGGGAUAAAAAGAAAGUUGAAGUGACUAUAUAAAAUCAGACAAAGACUUCAGGAAAAGUUUAUGGCCAGGAAUAAAGACAAACAUUAUAUAAUAUAAAGAAGCCAAGAUAUCAAGAGAACUUAAUAAUCGUAACUGUUGGCUAAAAUUGUUCUUGAAGCUCCUGCCUUCUGUUAUCUGGACAGUAGCCAUGCCUGUCCCAGGAACUUUCUGAAGGAUCCUAAGCUACAGCAGAUUAUACCAGAGAAAUGGAGUUGAGAUGACCUUUCCAAGACCAUCAAGAGACCACCUAAAAAUGCAUAGGGCAGAUGCUUCCCAGAUUGAAACAUGGAAAAAGGAGGUGAGAAACAAAUUGUAUUUUACAGAGAAUGGAGAUGUCAAAGCUUAACUAUAUCUUUAGUCAAAGGGCUCGCGAUCAAAAAUUAGGUAGAAUAAUAAAACAAGUCAAGUGUGAGGAGCAGUGAGAAAUUAGUAUGUGCCAUGGUCUUGAUUAGUUUUGCAGAUAGAGUUCCAAUUCUUAGAACUCCAAGUCAUUACAUAGUCCCAAAUUUUAGCAGCUUGGAGGAAGCCAAUCACUUAAAGAUCAGGGACUAGACACAUGGACCUAGGCUGGAGUUUAAGAUCUCACACUAAAGUCCCUUUUUAGGACAGUACCAGAUAUCUGUGCAGAUUGGAAGCUGCACAAUUCCAAUGGAUCCGUUCACACCAUGUCUAUA
Canis lupus familiaris (dog) is the source of this 777-nucleotide long non-coding RNA. RefSeq lists it as uncharacterized. The transcript is spliced from 3 exons. NCBI's taxonomy places the organism in Eukaryota, Metazoa, Chordata, Mammalia, Carnivora, Canidae. The record is from RefSeq and is a predicted model, not a curated record.